GUCUGCAGCCAUGCCACCCGGAACGUGCCCAAUCUCGUCUGAUCUCGGAAGCUAAGCUAGGUCGGGCCUGGUUAAUACCUGGAUGGGAGACCACCUAGGAAGACCAGGUGCUGUCGUUG
RNAcentral lists this ribosomal RNA (119 nucleotides) under Pteropus vampyrus (large flying fox). The record is from RNAcentral. Lineage: Eukaryota; Metazoa; Chordata; Mammalia; Chiroptera; Pteropodidae.